RNAcentral lists this ribosomal RNA (468 nucleotides) under uncultured bacterium. RNAcentral's name for it is "partial 16S ribosomal RNA". It matches the Rfam family "Bacterial small subunit ribosomal RNA", at positions 28 to 507 of the family's 1533-position model. The record is from RNAcentral.
GACGAACGCUGGCGGCGUGCUUAACACAUGCAGGUCGAACGGAAAGGCCCUGCUUUUGUGGGUUGCUCGAGUGGCGAACGGGGGAGUAACACGUGAGUAACCUGCCCCUGACUUUGGGAUAACUUCAGGAAACUGGGGCUAAUAUCGGAUAGGAGCUCCUGCUGCAUGGUGGGGGUUGGAAAGUUUCGGCGGUUGGGUAUGGUCUCGCGGCUUAUCAGCUUGUUGGUGGGGUAGUGGCUUACCAAGGCUUUGACGGGUAGCCGGCCUGAGAGGGUGACCGGCCACAUUGGGACUGCGAUACGGCGCAGACUCGUACGGGAGGCAGCAGUGGGGAAUAUUGCGCAGUGGGCGGAAGCCUGAGGCAGCAGCGUCGCGUGCGGGAUGACGGCCUUCGGGUUGUAAACCGCUUUCGCCUGUGCCGAAGCGUGAGUGACGGUAAUGGGUAAAGAAGCACCGGCUAACUACGUG